GCCUAUGACCAGACUGCACUGAUUGCACCUGAUCUUGGAAGCUAAACAGUCCUGGACCCAGGUAGAACCUGUAUGGGAGGCCACCUGGGAAUCCUGGGUGCUGUAGGCC
This 109-nucleotide ribosomal RNA is filed under the name Alligator mississippiensis (American alligator). Lineage: Eukaryota; Metazoa; Chordata; Crocodylia; Alligatoridae. The record is from RNAcentral.